RNAcentral lists this non-coding RNA (67 nucleotides) under Acyrthosiphon pisum (pea aphid). Lineage: Eukaryota; Metazoa; Arthropoda; Insecta; Hemiptera; Aphididae. The record is from RNAcentral.
UCCCCCCGACGGGACCCACCUUGCCGUGGUGGGGGUGCUCACGGGCAACGCCCAUGCCAAGAGGUUC